GCCCUUGACUCUGGGAUAAGCCUGGGAAACUGGGUCUAAUACCGGAUAUGACUGUCUGACGCAUGUCAGGUGGUGGAAAGCUUUUGUGGUUUUGGAUGGACUCGCGGCCUAUCAGCUUGUUGGUGGGGUAAUGGCCUACCAAGGCGACGACGGGUAGCCGGCCUGAGAGGGUGACCGGCCACACUGGGACUGAGACACGGCCCAGACUCCUACGGGAGGCAGCAGUGGGGAAUAUUGCACAAUGGGCGCAAGCCUGAUGCAGCGACGCCGCGUGAGGGAUGACGGCCUUCGGGUUGUAAACCUCUUUCAGUAGGGAAGAAGCGAAAGUGACGGUACCUGCAGAAGAAGCGCCGGCUAACUACGUGCCAGCAGCCGCGGUAAUACGUAGGGCGCAAGCGUUAUCCGGAAUUAUUGGGCGUAAAGAGCUCGUAGGCGGUUUGUCGCGUCUGCUGUGAAAGACCGGGGCUCAACUCCGGUUCUGCAGUGGGUACGGGCAGACUAGAGUGCAGUAGGGGAGACUGGAAUUCCUGGUGUAGCGGUGAAAUGCGCAGAUAUCAGGAGGAACACCGAUGGCGAAGGCAGGUCUCUGGGC
Molecule: ribosomal RNA, 592 nt
Filed under: Paenarthrobacter nitroguajacolicus
Lineage: Bacteria; Bacillati; Actinomycetota; Actinomycetes; Micrococcales; Micrococcaceae
Description: bacterial SSU rRNA
Rfam family: Bacterial small subunit ribosomal RNA
Source: RNAcentral